AGUAGUUUGAUCCUGGCUACGAGGACGACGCUGGCGCGUGCCUAACACAUGCAAGUCGAGCGGAGACAUGCGACGGAGAUGAAGUUUUCGGAUGGAAUUGAAGAUGCAUGUUUUAGCGGCGGACGGGUGAGUAACGCGUGAGCAACCUGUCCUUCACAGGGGGAUAACACAGCGAAGGUUGUACUAAUACCGCAUAAGACCACAGAGUCACAUGGCUUAGGGGUCAAAGGAGCAAUCCGGUGAAGGGUGGGCUCGCGUCCGAUUAGAUAGUUGGUGAGGUAACGGCCCACCAAGUCGACGAUCGGUAGCCGACCUGAGAGGGUGAUCGGCCACAUUGGGACUGAGACACGGCCCAAACUCC
RNAcentral lists this ribosomal RNA (361 nucleotides) under uncultured Coriobacteriales bacterium. RNAcentral's name for it is "bacterial SSU rRNA". It matches the Rfam family "Bacterial small subunit ribosomal RNA", at positions 1 to 339 of the family's 1533-position model. Lineage: Bacteria; Bacillati; Actinomycetota; Coriobacteriia; Coriobacteriales. The record is from RNAcentral.